GUGAGUUGAGUUUGCAUUUCGUCAGUUCUUGGGCUUCCGUGGCUUGUGAUUCCUAGUUCUUGGUCAUUUAAGCGACGAGAUUGAUAGAGGUCAAUUUCAAGGUAUAGAUAAUACGCUGCAGGAGUCAGAUGAUAUGGAGAGUCCAAAUGAGGAUCUGGAUUAGAUUGGUGAACGUGUCUAAGUUGAGGAGAUGUGGUUAGAAGAAGGUCUUCUGAUGUCCUUAGUUUUAAUGUCUUUGAGUUUUAAUUAUAUUUUCGGGUUUAGUAGGACCCAUGGUUUUAUCAAUUUGGUAUGUUACUAUUACCGGGAGAUUGUGGACCCUUUGAUAUUUUUAUGAUUGCAUUAAAGAUUAUGUGGAGUUUUUAAUGAGAUUAUUGAGAAGAUAUGAGAUUGAUUUCAUUUAUGAAGUUUUUUUUUUGGAGAUUAUUCUUUGGAUGUGUUGGGAGACAUGUUUAUGAGUGACAUGUAGUAAUUCUCCUAGCCAA
Juglans microcarpa x Juglans regia is the source of this 485-nucleotide long non-coding RNA. RefSeq lists it as uncharacterized. The transcript has 3 exons. The record is from RefSeq and is a predicted model, not a curated record. NCBI's taxonomy places the organism in Eukaryota, Viridiplantae, Streptophyta, Magnoliopsida, Fagales, Juglandaceae.